Molecule: ribosomal RNA, 608 nt
Filed under: Micrococcus luteus
Lineage: Bacteria; Bacillati; Actinomycetota; Actinomycetes; Micrococcales; Micrococcaceae
Description: bacterial SSU rRNA
Rfam family: Bacterial small subunit ribosomal RNA
Source: RNAcentral
CGAUGAAGCCCAGCUUGCUGGGUGGAUUUAGUGGCGAACGGGUGAGUAACACGUGAGUAACCUGCCCUUGACUCUGGGAUAAGCCUGGGAAACUGGGUCUAAUACCGGAUAGGAACGUCCACCGCAUGGUGGUUGUUGGAAAGAUUUAUCGGUCAUGGAUGGACUCGCGGCCUAUCAGCUUGUUGGUGAGGUAAUGGCUCACCAAGGCGACGACGGGUAGCCGGCCUGAGAGGGUGACCGGCCACACUGGGACUGAGACACGGCCCAGACUCCUACGGGAGGCAGCAGUGGGGAAUAUUGCACAAUGGGCGAAAGCCUGAUGCAGCGACGCCGCGUGAGGGAUGACGGCCUUCGGGUUGUAAACCUCUUUCAGUAGGGAAGAAGCGAAAGUGACGGUACCUGCAGAAGAAGCACCGGCUAACUACGUGCCAGCAGCCGCGGUAAUACGUAGGGUGCGAGCGUUAUCCGGAAUUAUUGGGCGUAAAGAGCUCGUAGGCGGUUUGUCGCGUCUGUCGUGAAAGUCCGGGGCUUAACCCCGGAUCUGCGGUGGGUACGGGCAGACUAGAGUGCAGUAAGGGAGACUGGAAUUCCUGGUGUAGCGGUGGAAU